GGUAAAGCUGUACAGCUGCAGCUGAGAAACUAGUGAGAGGUCCCACCGGAGGUGGCAGCUGCUCUGCGAACGCCUACAGUGUGGCCUACUAGAUUAAAUCUAGAGGGGAAAAAUGAAGAAGAAAUGAAGAUGAUGAUGAUGGCAAUGAUAAUGAUGCGUUUAGGUAAGUUA
This 171-nucleotide long non-coding RNA is filed under the name Capra hircus (goat). RNAcentral's name for it is "lncRNA (ENSCHIG00010005795.1)". The record is from RNAcentral. Lineage: Eukaryota; Metazoa; Chordata; Mammalia; Artiodactyla; Bovidae.